This 425-nucleotide ribosomal RNA is filed under the name uncultured bacterium. Its description in RNAcentral is "bacterial SSU rRNA". It matches the Rfam family "Bacterial small subunit ribosomal RNA", at positions 354 to 770 of the family's 1533-position model. The record is from RNAcentral.
GUGAGGAAUUUUGCGCAAUGGGGGAAACCCUGACGCAGCAACGCCGCGUGAGUGAUGAAGGUUUUCGGAUCGUAAAGCUCUGUCAAGUGGGAAGAAGUUAUCGUAUAUAAAUAGUGUAUGGUAUUGACGGUACCACUGAAGGAAGCACCGGCUAACUCCGUGCCAGCAGCCGCGGUAAUACGGAGGGUGCAAGCGUUAUUCGGAUUUACUGGGCGUAAAGGGCGCGUAGGCGGUCAGAUAAGUCAGAUGUGAAAGCCCGGGGCUCAACCCCGGAAGUGCAUUUGAAACUGUCUGGCUUGAGUAUGGUAGAGGGAAGUGGAAUUCCUGGUGUAGCGGUGAAAUGCGUAGAUAUCAGGAGGAACACCGGUGGCGAAGGCGACUUCCUGGACCAAUACUGACGCUGAGGCGCGAAGGUGUGGGGAGCA